Molecule: long non-coding RNA, 2668 nt
Filed under: Daucus carota (carrot)
Lineage: Eukaryota; Viridiplantae; Streptophyta; Magnoliopsida; Apiales; Apiaceae
Description: long non-coding RNA (DCAR_LNC005170)
Source: RNAcentral
UCCUCCUCCAAUUAUUAACCUGUCUUUGAAAUUGUUAGUAGCAGCUUUAAGCUCUGCUAAUGUAAAGCGCCUAUCCUUUACAUUCACCCUAUUCAAUAUGAUUCACCCUGUAUUCAGUGUACUCCAGGUAAUCAUCAUUAUACUUCAUCAAAUUAACUUAUAGUAUGCACUAAGCAGAUAUUUCACUAGUAACUGAUUAUGUUUAUAGGCACCUCAUCCAUUUUAUUAACCCAUAAAUGAUUGUUUGGUAUGCAAGGAUCUAAUUUGCGCCUCUCUGCACCCUGAUUACUGCAGAUGUGAUGACCCUGAUGAAUGUAACUAAGAAUGCACUUAUGAUGCAGAAUUUUAUGUGAAGCAAUGCCAGAGUCUCACCAUUCAUGCUAGAAUUCAACUCAAGCCGUUCGACACAACACCACAUAUCUGCCUGAAACUCAAAAUAUAGUAAGAUGCAAAGUUAAACAUAUACACAAAUUUAAUAGAUUCUAUAAUAGAAUGAAAUUUCUAUAGUAGAACCAACUAAGAAAUAUAUGAAUCAAAUAUCUAUAGUAGAAUCAAAACUACAGUACACAACUUUAUAACAUAAUUAAUCAUUUAAUAAAUUGAUUGUUUUGAUUCUAUAAUAGAAGCAAAAAAAACUGAAAUUGCAAGCAUAAUAUUUAUAACAAAAUUGAUUAGAUAGAAUUCAACAAGAACAAUAACAAAUGCAAAACUAGUAUAUAUGAGCCGUAAAUUGCAAAUAAACCAGGAUUAAUCUAUACGAAAUCAAAUCUCGAUAUGUAAAGACAUAUAAAUGGAUUAGUGUAACUAGAAGCAGCCGACUCCUAAUCUCUCUUGAACUAAAUUGUCAACUAGAAUUUAGUGUAACUAGAAGCAGCCGACUCCUAAUCUCUCUUGAACUAGAGAAUAAAAUAACAGUAGCUACCAAAUCCAAAUAGACUUAUUGCAAAAUAUUGUGCUAACAUUUCAUCAACAAACCCACCAUUUCAAAUGUGUGAUUAAACUAAAAAUGUAACAAGAACAAAACACAAACAGACCUUCUGGCGGAGCUCGCUUCGAUAUUUGCAAAGCUGGCUCUGGUGUCUUACUAAACCAAUCAAGUUCCAAGAUUCAUUCUCAACCUGUUUUCUUAAAAUGUAGAGCUUUCAAAACCUGUAACAGAGAUCUCAGACUUAAGAAGUAAAUAGAAAAUUAAAACUACACACUAUAAUACUAAGGGAAAAUACAAAUUAAAAAAUUAGUAAGGAACUACUUAUAAUACUACUUAUUUAGCUCGGAACUCUUAGUCAUGCCAAUUUAUUUUUACGGACUAAACAAAUACUUCGACCACUUUUUAUAACUGGUAACCGCUAAAAUUAGCUGAUCUAUCUUGAUUCUAUUGUAGAACCAAGGAAAAAAAUAUCAUCUAAUAAUAUACAUAAUUUAAAAGAAAAAGUUGUAGAUUUGGAACUAAAUUGUAAAACAUUAUUUGGUUCUACGCUGGAACCAAAAGUGUAACACAAAGUUGCAUAAUAAAACUAGAUAUUUCAGGAAAUUAUCGUUUCGACUCUACAAUAGAACCAACCAACAUACAUAAUUUUGACUAUAAAUAAGAAAAUUGUCACAAUCGAAAAGGAAACUAAAAAUAACAAAUCAAAUUGCAAAACUACAUACGACUCAACAACAAACAGCUACAAUUAACCGUAAAUUAACUACACAACAUUAAAUUUCAAACUGUGAACUCUCAACGGAUAUAGAAUUAUCAAAAUCGAAAGGACACUAUAAUAACAAAUCAAAUGGAAAAAACUACAUAAAAUUUAACAAACAACAGCUACAUAAAACCAAAUAAAAACAUAAUUUUACAAAAUACAUAAUCUAUAAGCAAAACUUUUUAGCUCUGGAGCUAAUUUAUAAGACAUUAUUUGGUUCUACAGUGGAACCAAAACUUAUCAGGAGCAUAAAUAGUUAUUAGUCAGACAUACUAGUUCUACUUGGAACUAUGUUACAAACGAUUCUAUUGUAGAACCAAACCUACAAUAUAGAACUAUGCAGAAAUUAAAAAUUUAAUAAAUUCACUUUCUUGAUUCUGCAACAAAACCAAAAUUCAAAAAAUAAUUUCAAACUGCAUUAUUCACAAAAACAUUCCAGUAGAACCAAAGCAACAUUACCACUAAAAAUUAAAAAUUUAAACAAACUGAUUUGAUUCUACAACAAGACCUGAAAACAAUGAUACAAACUGAAAUUAAAACAUAUGAGAUGAAUAAUAAAACUUGAAAGUCAACAUUUAACAAAUCAAAAUCAACAUAGCGAGAGAGAAAUAAGGAGCAGUAUAACUAAAACAUAAAAGUAAAUCGAAUUGGUUUGAUUCCACAACGGAACCAGGCCAAAUUAAUACGACUUGAAACUAAAACAUAUCAGAGAAACAAUGAAAAUUAAAAUUCAACAUAUAACAAGUCAAAAUUAACAGAGAGAUAAAGAGAUAACUGCAAGUGUACCAAAAUCAAAAUCAAGAGAGAUAACGAACCUGAUGAAUAGGUUAAAUCGACAUUAUCACGAAUCUGAGCUUGAUUUGCGGAUGACUGAGCUUGAUUUGUUGAAAGACACCAUGUGGCAGUACUUUAAACUAAAGAAAGAUCAGAACACCGGCCUCUAGAGAGAUAGCACGCCAGAGAGACGAGAUAGCGAGCCGCAG